This 109-nucleotide ribosomal RNA is filed under the name Schistosoma spindalis. Its description in RNAcentral is "Schistosoma spindale partial 3' end of internal transcribed spacer region". Lineage: Eukaryota; Metazoa; Platyhelminthes; Trematoda; Strigeidida; Schistosomatidae. The record is from RNAcentral.
AAAAAUCGCACCUAUCGUAUGCUACGUUAAUCACUUAGUCUUGUCUCUAUGGUUCGGUCUAUGGUUUGUACCGAUGGUGUGUGUAUCACACACGAAUUGUAUUAUUGAC